This 787-nucleotide ribosomal RNA is filed under the name uncultured Lactobacillus sp. RNAcentral's name for it is "bacterial SSU rRNA". It matches the Rfam family "Bacterial small subunit ribosomal RNA", at positions 28 to 776 of the family's 1533-position model. Lineage: Bacteria; Bacillati; Bacillota; Bacilli; Lactobacillales; Lactobacillaceae. The record is from RNAcentral.
GACGAACGCUGGCGGCGUGCUAAUACAUGCAAGUCGAGCGAGCUUGCCUAGAUGAAUUUGGUGCUUGCACCAAAUGAAACUAGAUACAAGCGAGCGGCGGACGGGUGAGUAACACGUGGGUAACCUGCCCAAGAGACUGGGAUAACACCUGGAAACAGAUGCUAAUACCGGAUAACAACACUAGACGCAUGUCUAGAGUUUAAAAGAUGGUUCUGCUAUCACUCUUGGAUGGACCUGCGGUGCAUUAGCUAGUUGGUAAGGUAACGGCUUACCAAGGCAAUGAUGCAUAGCCGAGUUGAGAGACUGAUCGGCCACAUUGGGACUGAGACACGGCCCAAACUCCUACGGGAGGCAGCAGUAGGGAAUCUUCCACAAUGGACGCAAGUCUGAUGGAGCAACGCCGCGUGAGUGAAGAAGGGUUUCGGCUCGUAAAGCUCUGUUGGUAGUGAAGAAAGAUAGAGGUAGUAACUGGCCUUUAUUUGACGGUAAUUACUUAGAAAGUCACGGCUAACUACGUGCCAGCAGCCGCGGUAAUACGUAGGUGGCAAGCGUUGUCCGGAUUUAUUGGGCGUAAAGCGAGUGCAGGCGGUUCAAUAAGUCUGAUGUGAAAGCCUUCGGCUCAACCGGAGAAUUGCAUCAGAAACUGUUGAACUUGAGUGCAGAAGAGGAGAGUGGAACUCCAUGUGUAGCGGUGGAAUGCGUAGAUAUAUGGAAGAACACCAGUGGCGAAGGCGGCUCUCUGGUCUGCAACUGACGCUGAGGCUCGAAAGCAUGGGUAGCGAACAGG